UGGGCUGGGAGUGAUAACGUUGUGAAGUGGAUGGAGCCAUCGUUGGGUGAGUGCUGGCUCUAUUUGCACUAAGAGUGGGUGUGCCGUGUCUGAAGUGGUGUGUUUGCACAAUAAAUCGUUUGAAGUGAAGUUACAGAGUGUGGGGAAGAUAUAUAGAGUUAAUGCCGGACGCUCACCACCCCGAGAGCCCACCACCGUCACCGUAAUCCACACCCAGGCACUCAACUGAAGUAUCCCCCAGCCGUAAGCCCCAUUUCUUAUUCAAGAACACAUACAUGCUGUUGAUUACUUACCCCGCUGUGUAGAUCGCAGGAUCCUCUGGGCCGAACGCCGCAUGUGAUGUCCCUAUGAAAAGAGGUGGACACAAGAAUUAUUCCUUUCCCGGUCUUAACCGAAGCAUCUCCCAGCCGUAAGCCCCAUUACUUAUGCGAGAACACAUACUUGCUGUUGAUUACUUACUCUGCUGUGCAGAUCGCAGGAUCCUCUGGGCCGAAUGCUGUAUGUGAUGUCCCUGUAGAAAGAGGUGGACACACGAAUUAUUCCUUUCCCGGUCUUAACCGAAGCAUCUCCCAGCCAUCACAGGAUUCUCUGGGCCGAAUGCUGCAUGUGAUGUCCCUGUAGAAGGAGGUGGACACGAGAAUUAUUCCUUUUCCCGGUCUCGACCGAAACAUCCACGAGCUCUACUUACCCGGAUACCCCCCCUCACUCCGGGACGGGUGACAGACUACCCUGGCUCUUGCUGGCCCCGUACAGGCACGAACUGCCGACGACUCCACGCCUUCCCGGCGUCCGAGGUCUGGCUCCGUUCUGGUCGGGAGACACGGAAGGAACACUGAACUUUUAAAUUGCUUUUAAUCAAAUAAAACCUUGUUCAUUUUUUAUACUCUCGUCCGUCUGGUUCUUCUGGUCCGCUCUCCGAGGUGAUCUUGGGUUUCAGGGGUGGGUGCAGUCU
Carassius gibelio (silver crucian carp) is the source of this 952-nucleotide long non-coding RNA. RefSeq lists it as uncharacterized. The record is from RefSeq and is a predicted model, not a curated record. Lineage: Eukaryota; Metazoa; Chordata; Actinopteri; Cypriniformes; Cyprinidae. The transcript is spliced from 3 exons.